ACGCGUGGGAACCUGCCUUUUUCUGCGGGACAACGGUUGGAAACGACCGCUAAUACCGCAUACGCCCUAUGGGGGAAAGGCUUCGGCCGCUAUUGGAUGAGCCCGCGUCAGAUUAGCUAGUUGGUAGGGUAAAGGCCUACCAAGGCAACGAUCUGUAGCUGGUCUGAGAGGACGAACAGACACACUGGGACUGAGACACGGGCCAGACUCCUACGGGAGGCAGCAGUGGGGAAUAUUGGACAAUGGGCGAAAGCCUGAUCCAACCAUGCCGCGUGUGUGAAGAAGGCCUGAGGGUUGUAAAAGCACUUUCAGCUGGGGAAGAUGAUGACGUUACCAACCAGAAGCAGCACCCGGGUAAAUCCGUGCCAGCAGACGGCGUAAUACGGGUGGUGCGAGCGUUACUCGGGAAUUACUGGGGCGUCACGCGCGCGUUAGGCGGUAAGUCACUCCGCAAGUGAAGGCCCGGGUCAACUGGGAAUUGUUUGAUACCGUUUGCUAGAGUAGGGAGAAGAAAUCGAAUCCACUUUAGGGUGACUGCGUGAUUCUGGAGACCUCGUGGCAAAGCGAAGUUGGACCAAACCGCGCUAGGUGGAAACGUGGUACAACAG
Molecule: ribosomal RNA, 608 nt
Filed under: uncultured Gammaproteobacteria bacterium
Lineage: Bacteria; Pseudomonadati; Pseudomonadota; Gammaproteobacteria
Description: bacterial SSU rRNA
Rfam family: Bacterial small subunit ribosomal RNA
Source: RNAcentral